This 845-nucleotide ribosomal RNA is filed under the name Pristosia aeneola. RNAcentral describes it as "eukaryotic LSU rRNA". It matches the Rfam family "Eukaryotic large subunit ribosomal RNA", at positions 406 to 944 of the family's 3401-position model. Lineage: Eukaryota; Metazoa; Arthropoda; Insecta; Coleoptera; Carabidae. The record is from RNAcentral.
UGUUCAGGGGUAAACCUGUGGUUCCCGAAAGUUCGAACGGGGAGAUUCAAUUGCCUCGCCGGUUAUGACCAUUUAACAGUGAUAAGUUUAUAUAUGAGACAUUAGAUAACGGUUGCGGUUUAUUCCGUAGCUGCUUUAUAUAGUGCUCCGCUGUUUUAUGCAAUAAGUUUAUAGCCGGAGGCAUGCACUUCUCCCCUUGUAGGACGUCGUGACCCAUUGGAUUAUGUUGUCUAAGGCUCAUAAUGGAGACCGUGGCAUUGGGGUUUCGGCUCUUGAUGACCCGGACUUAUGAUGUCCCGACAUCUAUCCGAUGGUAGGAUAAUGAUGAUGGGCCGCUAUUUAUAGCGCGAGCGUUCAGAUCCAUAACAAAUGCCUAUAUUGGAAUAAUAGUGGAAUUCGGAUUUUAUGCCGUUUCUGCACAUGUGGUAUUGUUAGUUGUGGUAUUCUCGAACUGUUCCUUAUCAUCGGUCUACGGCGUUUAUGUUUUGGGUAAUUACAGGACCCGUCUUGAAACACGGACCAAGGAGUCUAGCAUGUGCGCGAGUCAUUGGGAUUAUGUGAAACCUAAAGGCGUAAUGAAAGUGAAGUAUUUGUGAAUUUUCGUAAUUCACUGAUUUUAAGGGAAGAUGGGUAACGGAAUUUAUGUUACCCCGCAUUCCCGGGGCGUCGCGUACUUAUUGCAAGUUGCGGCGCACCAAGAGCGUACACGCUGGGACCCGAAAGAUGGUGAACUAUGCCUGGUCAGGAUGAAGUCAGGGGAAACCCUGAUGGAGGUCCGUAGCGAUUCUGACGUGCAAAUCGAUCGUAUGAACUGGGUAUAGGGGCGAAAGACUAAUCGAACCAUC